This is a long non-coding RNA of Medicago truncatula (barrel medic), 3510 nucleotides long. RefSeq lists it as uncharacterized. The record is from RefSeq and is a predicted model, not a curated record. Lineage: Eukaryota; Viridiplantae; Streptophyta; Magnoliopsida; Fabales; Fabaceae. The transcript is spliced from 3 exons.
UGGUGUUGCAUUUUCUAGCAUAUACUCUCUGUUUAGUUUGCCCUUUGACCAUUUUUUUAGUUAAAAACAAAUUUAAGAGCCUGUUAAAGUUUUUAGUUAAAAAAUCACUUUUUUUUAAACAAAAUAAUCAUUUACAAGUUGUCAUCUGCACAUAAUUUUAAAAAGAUGAGAAUCUGAAGGACUUUUUUUAACUGUUUCAAAAGAGAAGGUGUUUUGUGUAUUCUCUAUAAAAUCAUUUUGAUAACUUAUUAACGAAGUGAUUUUUAUUACAGUGAACGAAAACAAAAUAACUUCUGUUUUUAGAAAAAGGCUAAAUUGCAUGUUUGAUCCCAUACGCUUUUUUUUUUAUGUAUCAAGUUGGUCCACUACGUUUAAAAAAUUUCUUGUUAGUCCCUUAUGUUACCAACGUUGCAAUAAGUUAGUCCUUUUAAUCAAAUUACGUUUAAAACAUCCAUGUGGCUAACCGAGAUGCACACAUGGAUAACUUUGGAGGGUGCCAUGUGGACGUUUUAGUUAACUCAAAAUUUGACCUAAAGGACGACUUAUGCUGACAUCAGUAACAUAAGCCAUAAGGGACCAACUUAAAACUUUUUAAACAUAGGGGACCAACUUGAAACCAAAAAAAAUGUAAGGAACCAAAUAUGCAAUUUUGCCUUGAAAAUACUUCUAAGAAUUAAUCUCUAAUGGUCUGUUUGUUGUGGAUUAUAAAAAAGUGAUUUUGAUACUCAAUCAUUUAGAAAUUAAUUUUUAGAUAAUUAAAAAAAAAAACAGAAGUUGUUUUGUGUUUGUCAGCUGAUAUAUAUUUGUCAAGUGUAUAAAACAUUAUGUAAUUAAUAAAAAGUUCGUAUCGGGAUUGUAAUUAAUUUAGAUCAAAGCAAAAUUGUUCUACUUAGGCAUUAACUGAUAAGUUGAUGUUGAAUUUGGAUUCAAAUUGAGAAAUAAGAUCGCGAUUGAUUGAUUAUGAUUAAAACGACUAGAACUUCAAAUUCCCUCCUUUUCAUUAUGGAGAAUGUAUAAGUAAGUUUUCAUAAAACAAUAGUGUAAUUAUUACUUGUUCAAACGUAACAACUUAUAUUUCGAAGACAAAAUUUCUGUUUAUGGAUUUCUUAACCAAUGCCCUGGGGCCGGGGGCACUGGCUGUUCAAUUCUCUAUCUGUAGCAAUUGAGUUUCUUCUGAAAAUAAUUAGCAAAAGAUUAACUCCAAUUCUUUGGUUCAUAAUCUCAUUUGUCUAACAGUGAGGCCUAAUUCCUUAUGUGAACUAAUGUUAUCUAAAGCAUGAGCGGACAGUAAUUUUUCUGAACACAUACUAGAAAUUCUAUAUUCUUUUAGAAAUUAUCUAACAUGAACAAUACUCCUAGUUCCGGUUCAUGCUACCUAUUUUCCAAGCAAAGUGUUCCUAAAUUCGAUUCAGAAUUGAUCAAAUAAUGAAAAGCAAUAAACACAAGAAUGAUUGAAUAAACAUAAAAACUUCGAUUGAGUAGAUAAUACUAAGAAUCAAACAUUCAAAUGAAUCCAUGGUGGUUGAUCUAUGUCCUAAUUAAAAGUAAAUUAUUUACUCAUAUUCAGAAGAUUCAUAACAAUAAGAGUAUAGAAAUUAUACAUGAACGAAAGAAUUGAAUCCUCUAAGAGUUGAUUCUUCAGUUUUUCUCAUCCACAUUGACCUAGUUAUAUUUCUUAUUUCACCGAAAGUGAGAACUCUUAAAAAUUCUGAAGUUUUCCUUUAAAUAGGUAUCAAAAACAUGUGCCAGCGCAUUGCGCAGAGGUCUUGCACUUUGCCCCCUGCAGAACAAUCGUAAAUAUUAAAUGUUUUGAGCCGUUAGUCUUGUAGUUAUUAGUUAGUAACUUCUGUUAUUAUACUUUAUAAUUAUGUUGUGUUUCCUUUUCUGCUAUUCAAUUCCUUAGCAGCCUACUUUACCAAUUAUAAAAGCCAAUUGGCUUUGUAUUUCCUGCUCUAUUAUUCAAUUCCUUAUCAUCUUAUUAUACUUGUUAUAGAAGGCAGUUGAUAUGAAUAUAAAAGCCCGAUAGUCAUUUCUAUCUUUAACACGGUGUAUCGGAGAGCAUUUCUAUCUUUAAAAGCUAACUCAUCCUAACAAUUAACACAUUUUUAUUGCUUUGUCUUGCUAUCUCUUUCUGGGUUUAUAAUAGCAUUAUUUAUAUUUUCUCGAGUUAAAAUGUUAAUUGCAGCUUUGACAACUUCUAAUUUGAAGAUACAAAAAAUUGUUUAGUUUUCAUCUUCUUUGAAUAUGGUCUCAUCCAUUUUCUUAGUGAGUAUAUUUCUCAUUUCCAGUUUUAUUACAUAUUUGCUCCCCUCCGCUUUGAUUGCAUGGCUGUGUUUUCACUCAACUCUUAACUAUUCUGUUAAAUGCAAAUUUGGCAAUUCGACUGGUGAAUAACCACAUGUCACUGUAGCAAACAACUUGCAGUAAGUUUCAUCACUUGAAAUACUGUAUUAUGCAUGCAUCAAAUAAGGAAGAAUAUUGGGGAGAGUGCAGUGGGUAAAGAUUGCAUGUUGUUGUUGGUUCCAAACAGGAAUUACUUAGAAUUUUGCAGGUGCAAAGGUUGAUAAGACUGCCAAAGUGAAAUCAUGCCUUCAUCUGUCUGUUAGCUUACAUUAUGUGGAGAUUUCAACGCUUGCCUCAUAAGUGGCAGCAGGAAGGGAAAUCCUUCUCUCAUCUACGAUACAAUUAUUCUUUCUUAAGAGACUUCAUCUUCGCCUCUAUUCCCAAGAUCAAUAAAAGCACUCUCAUCCAAUUCGACUGCCAGUACUCCAUCUUUUAUUAAACCAUUACCACUUUGGCACCACAACAUAGAAACUUCAGAAUGAGAAGAAUAAACCAACUUGGCCCUAAUCUUAUUAUAGAUUGCUGUAAUCAAAAUUUGGUCAUCAUUUUCUACAAUCAAGUUUGAAAUACCACAAUCCAGAGCAAAAAGAAAAAUUCCACCCCAAAUGCCCAUACUUUCUGCAACCCUAGCAUUUUCUUGUUGCAGUGGCUAUGACAGAUUCUUCAUAAUCUCUUAUAAUGAAACCAAAAUCCUGUGGAAGCAUUCAUUCGAGAUCGCUGCACCUGUGCUGUGCUUUGAAAUUGACAGAGGACGGAGCUUCUAGCACGAAGGAGAAGAUGAGUUAUUGAGUUUACAUUAGAAGAGCUGCUUGAAAGAAAAUUUGAAUAAGAAGAAAAGCUACAAUCAUGGUAGAAUUACUGAAGAACCUGAAUAGCCUGCUUCAUAGUCUUCUCAACUGAGAGUCUAAGCUGUAAAGGGGAUGAUAACCAAAUUUGUUCGAUUGAAAUGCAAUUUCUGAAUGUGUGUUUGAUGGAGUCCAUUACAAACUUACAUAUGGAACAAAGGAGCGAAUAGGGAAUGCCGCUUCAUCGAAGGUUGAUCUUAACUGAAAUUGUCUUAAUUUUUUUCCAAAGAAGCAUUUUCUGUUUUAGGGGUGUUCAAUUUCUAAAGAUACUUCUAGAGAUCAUAUUUGGAAGUGCUACUUCGGAUUGUUAUCCUCAAUUUUU